RNAcentral lists this transfer RNA (58 nucleotides) under Chlorocebus sabaeus (green monkey). It matches the Rfam family "tRNA", at positions 8 to 63 of the family's 71-position model. Rfam says of the family: Transfer RNA (tRNA) molecules are approximately 80 nucleotides in length. Their secondary structure includes four short double-helical elements and three loops (D, anti-codon, and T loops). The record is from Rfam by way of RNAcentral. Lineage: Eukaryota; Metazoa; Chordata; Mammalia; Primates; Cercopithecidae.
UAGCUCAGCUGGGAGAGCAUCUGCCUUACAAGCAGGGGGUCGGGGGUUCAAGUCCCUC